AAUUGUUCGCAAUGGGCGCAAGCCUGACGACGCAACGCCGCGUGGAGGAUGAAGAUCUUCGGGUCGUAAACUCCUGUCGAGCGGGACGAAUGCUUUGCGGCUGAAUAAUCCGCAGAGGUGACGGUACCGCUAAAGGAAGCCCCGGCUAACUCCGUGCCAGCAGCCGCGGUAAUACGUAGGGGGCGAGCGUUGUCCGAAUUUACUGGGCGUAAAGCGCGCGUAGGCGGUUUCUUAAGUCUGGGGUGAAAGGUUCAACGCUCAACGUGAACAGUGCCUUGGAUACUGGGAGACUUGAGUCUGGGAGGGGGCAGUGGAAUUCCUGGUGUAGCGGUGAAAUGCGUAGAUAUCAGGAGGAACACCGGUGGCGAAGGCGGCUGCCUGGCCUAAGACUGACGCUGAGGUGCGAAAGCGUGGGUAGCGAAC
This 423-nucleotide ribosomal RNA is filed under the name uncultured bacterium. Its description in RNAcentral is "bacterial SSU rRNA". It matches the Rfam family "Bacterial small subunit ribosomal RNA", at positions 360 to 773 of the family's 1533-position model. The record is from RNAcentral.